UCGUCGCGCGGGUCGCGGCGGCUGUGGAGCGGCGGCGGCGUGCGGCGGCUUCACGCCCUUCGAUUUUGGUGACUCUGGAUAACUGUCAGUACGAUCGCACGGGCUAGUAUCGCACUAGCCUUCGCGCGACGGGUCCCCCGCGAGUCCGCCCUAUCAACUGUCGACGGCCCGGUCAGUGCUGACCGUGGUGGCAACGGGUAACGGGGAAUCAGGGUUC
This is a long non-coding RNA of Octopus sinensis (East Asian common octopus), 217 nucleotides long. RefSeq lists it as uncharacterized. The record is from RefSeq and is a predicted model, not a curated record. Lineage: Eukaryota; Metazoa; Mollusca; Cephalopoda; Octopoda; Octopodidae. The transcript has 3 exons.